RNAcentral lists this ribosomal RNA (253 nucleotides) under uncultured bacterium. RNAcentral describes it as "partial 16S ribosomal RNA". It matches the Rfam family "Bacterial small subunit ribosomal RNA", at positions 524 to 776 of the family's 1533-position model. The record is from RNAcentral.
GACGUAGGGCGCGAGCGUUGUUCGGAAUUACUGGGCGUAAAGGGCUCGUAGGCGGCCAACUAAGUCAGACGUGAAAUCCCUCGGCUUAACCGGGGAACUGCAUCUGAUACUGGAUGGCUUGAGUUCGGGAGAGGGAUGCGGAAUUCCAGGUGUAGCGGUGAAAUGCGUAGAUAUCUGGAGGAACACCGGUGGCGAAGGCGGCAUCCUGGACCGACACUGACGCUGAGGAGCGAAAGCCAGGGGAGCAAACGGG